UGCUUCCAACUUCAGGCCCCCUACUGUUC
Molecule: small RNA, 29 nt
Filed under: Bombyx mori (domestic silkworm)
Lineage: Eukaryota; Metazoa; Arthropoda; Insecta; Lepidoptera; Bombycidae
Description: piRNA piR-bmo-2087140
Source: RNAcentral